Zingiber officinale is the source of this 119-nucleotide small nuclear RNA. RefSeq annotates it as U5 spliceosomal RNA. NCBI's taxonomy places the organism in Eukaryota, Viridiplantae, Streptophyta, Magnoliopsida, Zingiberales, Zingiberaceae. The record is from RefSeq and is a predicted model, not a curated record. The transcript has a single exon.
AUGCUUUUUGAUAGACACAAAGUGAAUUAUUCUUUUGUCUUUUACUAAAGAAUACCAUGUGCUUUCCACUAAAAAUGGCAUACAUUAAUUUUUGAAAGGACUCUUUUUACUAAGGAGCU